Molecule: long non-coding RNA, 1276 nt
Filed under: Fragaria vesca (wild strawberry)
Lineage: Eukaryota; Viridiplantae; Streptophyta; Magnoliopsida; Rosales; Rosaceae
Description: long non-coding RNA (FVES_LNC002049)
Source: RNAcentral
GAUUGGUUCGUAUCGGAACCUUGAUGGGUUUCAGUCCACUCAUGUCAAGGUCCACCGUGAUCGUCAACUCUUCAUCCUCCUCCGACCACUGGUCGUUUGCGACGGUGGCGUUAUGGUGGUGAUCGGGGGAGGAGGUAGAAGAUGAAGAUGUAGAAGUGGAGAUGCGUUGAAACCAGCGAAUCAGGCCGUCCAUUUCAUCUGAGGUAAAGUGUUUCAAAAGAGAAUGUCGAAAAAGUUGAAACCUCUGUAGAGGUGAAGAAGAACAGUUUGACUCUGUGAAGUCCCCCCUGUUUUAAGCGUUUAGACUUGUUUGGUUUGGUUUUGGGUUUCUGUUGCUAUUAAUCUAUAUCGGUUUGGAAAUAAAGUAAUCAAUGAGUUUGUAGAUAUCUGUUGUGGGUUACUAAUUAUAAUUAUCGUGUAAUUAAUUUAUUAAUUAUUACUAUUACUAUCCGAUUAAGAUGCUAGAUGUAGUAGAUUAUUAAAGAGUAUAAACAGACAUCUGCCAAGCUGUUUCAGAAUUAUGUCACACUAGACAUGAUUUGGCUAUGUCGUGUCAGACUAUUAGAGCGUGAUUCAGAUUGGAAAAAUGUGAAGUAUAAUAUAUCAUAAGGUCUUGCAUCUCUUGCAGACAUUGCUAAUUUUAAUGCUCCAAAUUCUUCACUGCAUUGUUGGCUAUUGUGUAUUUGUGUAGGAUAGAAAAUUAGUGAGAAAGGUUUUGUUUCUGUGAUGAACAUCUUGAAUCAGAAGAGUAAUGUAACAUUUAUUUUCAAGAAAACAUCAAAAAUCAUUCGGCGUUUUAUACCUAAACUGUGAUCUUCCUGGUAGAGUACACAUCUCUAAUACCUUAUUGCAAAGUGAAAAGAAUGAACUAGAAUCUACUAAAGCAGACCUGACACUCAGUUUCUCAUUCUCGACUGUGUGAUUGCAGCUGCAGCAUAUCAGUUUCUGAGGGUUCGAGAUUUCCUCUGCCUCGCUUCGGUUUAGAGAACCUCAUGUUAGUUGCUUGGUUUGGGGGCUGCUGUUGCUUAGGCUUAGAGUGAUGCUGAAUAUCUGAGCUUGAUAGAACUGUCAGGGUGGUUUCUGUAUGUGGCUUUGGUUUAGGAGGUCUCCCAGGGCUUCGUCGCUUCAGUGGCUGCUCAGCGUGUGGAUUUUCAAGAGCACAAGGUACUUCACUAGUAGUACUUGCCUCCGUAUCAUAUAUAGCUCUAGACUUCCCUCGAUGCCUCUGAGGCUGCUUCUCAUUAAGAGGUUCAACAUCACACGGUAAUUCAGCAUU